CCUCCCCAUAAGGGUUUUUUCUUUUUAAAUUAUUUUGGAUUCAGUAAGUAAAAAAAAUAGUAUUAAAUAAACUAUAUUUUUCAAAAGAUAAAAUAUGAUAUUUAUGUAUCCAUAAGAAAAGAUACAUUUUUCCACUAUUCUUUCCAAACCAAAAAAUAUUAAUUAGUUCUGAUUUCAUCAAAAACUUCUUUAUGUUAUUACACACUAAA
This is a non-coding RNA of Cinara cedri, 209 nucleotides long. Lineage: Eukaryota; Metazoa; Arthropoda; Insecta; Hemiptera; Aphididae. The record is from the annotation of a GenBank genome assembly.